This 2922-nucleotide ribosomal RNA is filed under the name Bacillus cereus. RNAcentral's name for it is "bacterial LSU rRNA". It matches the Rfam family "Bacterial large subunit ribosomal RNA". Lineage: Bacteria; Bacillati; Bacillota; Bacilli; Caryophanales; Bacillaceae. The record is from RNAcentral.
UUAAGUUAGAAAGGGCGCACGGUGGAUGCCUUGACACUAGGAGUCGAUGAAGGACGGGACUAACGCCGAUAUGCUUCGGGGAGCUGUAAGUAAGCUUUGAUCCGAAGAUUUCCGAAUGGGGAAACCCACCAUACGUAAUGGUAUGGUAUCCUUAUCUGAAUACAUAGGGUAAGGAAGACAGACCCAGGGAACUGAAACAUCUAAGUACCUGGAGGAAGAGAAAGCAAAUGCGAUUUCCUGAGUAGCGGCGAGCGAAACGGAACAUAGCCCAAACCAAGAGGCUUGCCUCUUGGGGUUGUAGGACAUUCUAUACGGAGUUACAAAGGAACGAGGUAGACGAAGCGACCUGGAAAGGUCCGUCGUAGAGGGUAACAACCCCGUAGUCGAAACUUCGUUCUCUCUUGAAUGUAUCCUGAGUACGGCGGAACACGUGAAAUUCCGUCGGAAUCUGGGAGGACCAUCUCCCAAGGCUAAAUACUCCCUAGUGAUCGAUAGUGAACCAGUACCGUGAGGGAAAGGUGAAAAGCACCCCGGAAGGGGAGUGAAAGAGAUCCUGAAACCGUGUGCCUACAAAUAGUCAGAGCCCGUUAACGGGUGAUGGCGUGCCUUUUUGUAGAAUGAACCGGCGAGUUACGAUCUCCGUGCGAGGUUAAGCUGAAGAGGCGGAGCCGCAGCGAAAGCGAGUCUGAAUAGGGCGUUUAGUACGUGGUCGUAGACCCGAAACCAGGUGAUCUACCCAUGUCCAGGGUGAAGUUCAGGUAACACUGAAUGGAGGCCCGAACCCACGCACGUUGAAAAGUGCGGGGAUGAGGUGUGGGUAGCGGAGAAAUUCCAAUCGAACCUGGAGAUAGCUGGUUCUCCCCGAAAUAGCUUUAGGGCUAGCCUUAAGUGUAAGAGUCUUGGAGGUAGAGCACUGAUUGGACUAGGGGUCCUCAUCGGAUUACCGAAUUCAGUCAAACUCCGAAUGCCAAUGACUUAUCCUUAGGAGUCAGACUGCGAGUGAUAAGAUCCGUAGUCAAAAGGGAAACAGCCCAGACCGCCAGCUAAGGUCCCAAAGUGUGUAUUAAGUGGAAAAGGAUGUGGAGUUGCUUAGACAACUAGGAUGUUGGCUUAGAAGCAGCCACCAUUUAAAGAGUGCGUAAUAGCUCACUAGUCGAGUGACUCUGCGCCGAAAAUGUACCGGGGCUAAAUACACCACCGAAGCUGCGGAUUGAUACCAAUGGUAUCAGUGGUAGGGGAGCGUUCUAAGGACAGUGAAGUCAGACCGGAAGGACUGGUGGAGUGCUUAGAAGUGAGAAUGCCGGUAUGAGUAGCGAAAGACGGGUGAGAAUCCCGUCCACCGAAUGCCUAAGGUUUCCUGAGGAAGGCUCGUCCGCUCAGGGUUAGUCAGGACCUAAGCCGAGGCCGACAGGCGUAGGCGAUGGACAACAGGUUGAUAUUCCUGUACCACCUCUUUAUCGUUUGAGCAAUGGAGGGACGCAGAAGGAUAGAAGAAGCGUGCGAUUGGUUGUGCACGUCCAAGCAGUUAGGCUGAUAAGUAGGCAAAUCCGCUUAUCGUGAAGGCUGAGCUGUGAUGGGGAAGCUCCUUAUGGAGCGAAGUCUUUGAUUCCCCGCUGCCAAGAAAAGCUUCUAGCGAGAUAAAAGGUGCCUGUACCGCAAACCGACACAGGUAGGCGAGGAGAGAAUCCUAAGGUGUGCGAGAGAACUCUGGUUAAGGAACUCGGCAAAAUGACCCCGUAACUUCGGGAGAAGGGGUGCUUUCUUAACGGAAAGCCGCAGUGAAUAGGCCCAAGCGACUGUUUAGCAAAAACACAGCUCUCUGCGAAGCCGUAAGGCGAAGUAUAGGGGGUGACACCUGCCCGGUGCUGGAAGGUUAAGGAGAGGGGUUAGCGUAAGCGAAGCUCUGAACUGAAGCCCCAGUAAACGGCGGCCGUAACUAUAACGGUCCUAAGGUAGCGAAAUUCCUUGUCGGGUAAGUUCCGACCCGCACGAAAGGUGUAACGAUUUGGGCACUGUCUCAACCAGAGACUCGGUGAAAUUAUAGUACCUGUGAAGAUGCAGGUUACCCGCGACAGGACGGAAAGACCCCGUGGAGCUUUACUGUAGCCUGAUAUUGAAUUUUGGUACAGUUUGUACAGGAUAGGCGGGAGCCUUUGAAACCGGAGCGCUAGCUUCGGUGGAGGCGCUGGUGGGAUACCGCCCUGACUGUAUUGAAAUUCUAACCUACGGGUCUUAUCGACCCGGGAGACAGUGUCAGGUGGGCAGUUUGACUGGGGCGGUCGCCUCCUAAAGUGUAACGGAGGCGCCCAAAGGUUCCCUCAGAAUGGUUGGAAAUCAUUCGUAGAGUGCAAAGGCAUAAGGGAGCUUGACUGCGAGACCUACAAGUCGAGCAGGGACGAAAGUCGGGCUUAGUGAUCCGGUGGUUCCGCAUGGAAGGGCCAUCGCUCAACGGAUAAAAGCUACCCCGGGGAUAACAGGCUUAUCUCCCCCAAGAGUCCACAUCGACGGGGAGGUUUGGCACCUCGAUGUCGGCUCAUCGCAUCCUGGGGCUGUAGUCGGUCCCAAGGGUUGGGCUGUUCGCCCAUUAAAGCGGUACGCGAGCUGGGUUCAGAACGUCGUGAGACAGUUCGGUCCCUAUCCGUCGUGGGCGUAGGAAAUUUGAGAGGAGCUGUCCUUAGUACGAGAGGACCGGGAUGGACGCACCGCUGGUGUACCAGUUGUUCUGCCAAGGGCAUAGCUGGGUAGCUAUGUGCGGAAGGGAUAAGUGCUGAAAGCAUCUAAGCAUGAAGCCCCCCUCAAGAUGAGAUUUCCCAUAGCGUAAGCUAGUAAGAUCCCUGAAAGAUGAUCAGGUUGAUAGGUUCGAGGUGGAAGCAUGGUGACAUGUGGAGCUGACGAAUACUAAUAGAUCGAGGACUUAACCAU